RNAcentral lists this ribosomal RNA (510 nucleotides) under uncultured bacterium. RNAcentral's name for it is "bacterial SSU rRNA". It matches the Rfam family "Bacterial small subunit ribosomal RNA", at positions 17 to 518 of the family's 1533-position model. The record is from RNAcentral.
UUCUAGCUCAGGAUGAACGCUAGCGACAGGCUAACACAUGCAAGUCGAGGGGCAGCACGGGAGUAGCAAUACAACUGGUGGCGACCGGCGCACGGGUGAGUAACGCGUAUGCAACCUACCUAUCAGAGGGGAAUAACCCGGCGAAAGUCGGACUAAUACCGCAUAAAACAGGGGCACCGCAUGGUGAUAUUUGUUAAAGAAAUUCGCUGAUAGAUGGGCAUGCGUUCCAUUAGGUAGUUGGUGAGGUAACGGCUCACCAAGCCGACGAUGGAUAGGGGAACUGAGAGGUUGGUCCCCCACACUGGUACUGAGACACGGACCAGACUCCUACGGGAGGCAGCAGUGAGGAAUAUUGGUCAAUGGGCGGGAGCCUGAACCAGCCAAGUCGCCGUGAAGGAAGAAGGAUCUAUGGUUCGUAAACUUCUUUUGCAGGGGAAUAAAGUGCAGGACGUGUCCUGUUUUGUAUGUACCCUGAGAAUAAGGAUCGGCUAACUCCGUGCCAGCAGCCGC